GCCGGCGGGAAAGAACAGUUCUGAGUUCAGCAGACAGUGACGUUAGUUGAGAGGAGUUCCAAUUAACGCCGAAUUUUUGUGCAUCACGACCUUACCUUUACAUUCGAGAUUUAUGGCCUCUUUGGACAGACAGAGCUCUCAGGUUCUCCAGGUUAUUAGGAGCAAAGGUGGAGUCCUCCGUGAAAAAACUAAGGACACUAUUGAAGUUAUGGAUCAGAGUCUGGACAUAGACAUCAGAAGAGAGAGCCUGCUGAAGUGCCUGAUCAUGUACCUUGGUGAAGAUGCAAGCUGUCUGAUCAAAGAAUACCAGGUUUUUUUUCCUCCCAUCUUGUAGCCUACUCGCGCCCCCCCGGGAGAGUGUCCGCGCCCCCCCGGUUGAGAACCACUGAGCAACAAUUCUUUUUUUCAGAUCCUCAGAGAGUUCUUUGCCAUGAGGUGCCAUGUUGAACUUCCAGUGACCAGUAUGAGAGAGUGAGAGCGAUAACACCAAAUUUAACACACCUGCUCCCCAUUCACACCUGAGACCGUGUGACACUAACGAGUCACAUGACACCGGGGAGAGAAAAUGGCUAAUUGGGCCCAAUUUGGACAUAUUCACUUAGGGGUGUACUCACUUUUGUGGCCAGCGGUUUAGACAUUAAUGGCUGUGUGUUGAGUUAUUUUGAGGGGACAGAAAAUUUACACUGUUAUACAAGCUGUACACUCACUACUUUACAUUGUAGCAAAGAGUCAUUUCUUCAGUGUUGUCACAUGAAAAGAUAUAAUAAAAUAUUUACAAAAAUGUGAGGGGUGUACUCACUUCUGUAUCCCAAAUGUUUCCAAGAAUGUUUAAAUUCAGAGAAAAAAGUAAUUUUAACCAGGACAUGAACGUGUCCGUCUGUCUGUGCGUCGCCUAUCAGUGACGUCAUACCCGCGUUACCCUCGAUUUCCGAUUUUAUUUUGUAGAAACCAUGGAAAUAUAUUGCAUGUUUUAUUAGCAACAUGUCCUCCAACUAAUAUGCCCAUAUAGGUCGUUUGUCACUUCCCUGAAAUACAACCCAUAGGAGCGUUUACUAAAGUUGCGCCCCUAUCGACAACAGGACACUUUCAUUUUAAUGCAUUGUUCCCUUUUAUCUGUGUAGUAUUUUGGGUUUUGCGUAGCUCAAUUGGUAGAGCAUUGCAAUAUCCAAAAAUAUGCGAUCAUGUGAUCAUGCGAUUGUGGGUUUGAUCCCAGGGAAUGCAUGUGCUCAUAAAGUGUAUAUGUACUAUAAAUCACUAAGGGUAGGUUUAGUGUUGGGGUGGGUGUAGUCGUUAAUAAAAAAAUGAGUUUUGCAAAAUGGAAAUAGGACAAAUGGCGGGUAAGGGACUGUGUAAAAAGUCCACACAUUGCAUUUAAAUGAACACGCAUUUUGAUUGGUAAUGACGGUCAUACGUCAUUUCUUGAUGACAGACGCAACACGACACUGUCAUUAUUUUUACGCCAGCUAGAGGGUGCAUGACUUUAAAACGUAAAUAUAGGUCGUAAUAAGGUGCUUGAAAAAAGGUUGUUUUUUGGAGGAGGACAGAUGAGCAACUGUUUGGAUUGUAAUUAUUGUUAUAUAGCUCAACACGUUUAGUCUUAUUGUUUAAAUCUAGUUUUCUUGAUUUUCCGAGAGUACCAUGUUUUAAUAUGCCUCAGAAAAAAUCACUAUUUUGUCAAGUAGCUAACAUAGCAUAAUCAUGUCACGGAGUCACGACCAUCACAGACCAAUUACAACCCAUCAUCACCAGAUCAGCACGCUUACCGACUCGUUCACUUUCCCUGGAAUCCUGAUUCACUGCACCUCAUCAUCAGCCCUCACUAUAAAGAGACACUUCUCCUGCAUUCCCUUGUCUGGUCUUGUCUGUACGAACUCUAAAGACACCUUAGACUUACCUGCUCAUUGGAAUCCUUACCCGUCUUCAGUUAUCUGUCAUCCGCCCUUCGUCUUCUUCUGAUACAUUCAUCUGCAAAAGAGACAUUAAAAUUACUUCAAGCUAAGUCAACAUUCUA
This is a long non-coding RNA of Ctenopharyngodon idella (grass carp), 2011 nucleotides long. RefSeq lists it as uncharacterized. The record is from RefSeq and is a predicted model, not a curated record. The transcript is spliced from 4 exons. Lineage: Eukaryota; Metazoa; Chordata; Actinopteri; Cypriniformes; Xenocyprididae.